Molecule: ribosomal RNA, 549 nt
Filed under: Escherichia coli
Lineage: Bacteria; Pseudomonadati; Pseudomonadota; Gammaproteobacteria; Enterobacterales; Enterobacteriaceae
Description: bacterial SSU rRNA
Rfam family: Bacterial small subunit ribosomal RNA
Source: RNAcentral
AAAUUGAAGAGUUUGAUCAUGGCUCAGAUUGAACGCUGGCGGCAGGCCUAACACAUGCAAGUCGAACGGUAACAGGAAGAAGCUUGCUUCUUUGCUGACGAGUGGCGGACGGGUGAGUAAUGUCUGGGAAACUGCCUGAUGGAGGGGGAUAACUACUGGAAACGGUAGCUAAUACCGCAUAACGUCGCAAGACCAAAGAGGGGGACCUUCGGGCCUCUUGCCAUCGGAUGUGCCCAGAUGGGAUUAGCUAGUAGGUGGGGUAACGGCUCACCUAGGCGACGAUCCCUAGCUGGUCUGAGAGGAUGACCAGCCACACUGGAACUGAGACACGGUCCAGACUCCUACGGGAGGCAGCAGUGGGGAAUAUUGCACAAUGGGCGCAAGCCUGAUGCAGCCAUGCCGCGUGUAUGAAGAAGGCCUUAGGGUUGUAAAGUACUUUCAGCGGGGAGGAAGGGAGUAAAGUUAAUACCUUUGCUCAUUGACGUUACCCGCAGAAGAAGCACCGGCUAACUCCGUGCCAGCAGCCGCGGUAAUACGGAGGGUGCAAGC